CUACCUACCUGGCAGGGGAGAUACCAUGAUCAAGAAGGCGGUUCACCCAGGGCGAGGCUCAGCCAUUGCACUUUGGCUGUGCUGACCCCUGCAAAUUCCCCAAAUGUGGGAAUCUCGACUGCAAAUUUUCUGGUAGUUGGGGACUGCGUUCACUCUCCCCUGAU
This is a small nuclear RNA of 164 nucleotides. Its record names the gene U1. It matches the Rfam family "U1 spliceosomal RNA". From Rfam's summary of the family: U1 is a small nuclear RNA (snRNA) component of the spliceosome (involved in pre-mRNA splicing). Its 5' end forms complementary base pairs with the 5' splice junction, thus defining the 5' donor site of an intron. The record is from Ensembl.